RNAcentral lists this ribosomal RNA (272 nucleotides) under Blautia luti. RNAcentral's name for it is "partial 16S ribosomal RNA". It matches the Rfam family "Bacterial small subunit ribosomal RNA", at positions 502 to 776 of the family's 1533-position model. The record is from RNAcentral. Lineage: Bacteria; Bacillati; Bacillota; Clostridia; Lachnospirales; Lachnospiraceae.
UAUGGUGCCGCCGCGGUAAUACGUAGGGGGCAAGCGUUAUCCGGAUUUACUGGGUGUAAAGGGAGCGUAGACGGAUGGACAAGUCUGAUGUGAAAGGCUGGGGCUCAACCCCGGGACUGCAUUGGAAACUGCCCGUCUUGAGUGCCGGAGAGGUAAGCGGAAUUCCUAGUGUAGCGGUGAAAUGCGUAGAUAUUAGGAGGAACAUCAGUGGCGAAGGCGGCUUACUGGACUGAAACUGACACUGAGGCACGAAAGCGUGGGGAGCAAACAGG